UACGAAGGGGGCUAGCGUUGCUCGGAAUUACUGGGCGUAAAGCGCACGUAGGCGGAUCGUUAAGUCAGGGGUGAAAUCCUGGAGCUCAACUCCAGAACUGCCUUUGAUACUGGCGAUCUUGAGUUCGGGAGAGGUGAGUGGAACUGCGAGUGUAGAGGUGAAAUUCGUAGAUAUUCGCAAGAACACCAGUGGCGAAGGCGGCUCACUGGCCCGAUACUGACGCUGAGGUGCGAAAGCGUGGGGAGCAAACAGG
RNAcentral lists this ribosomal RNA (253 nucleotides) under uncultured bacterium. Its description in RNAcentral is "partial 16S ribosomal RNA". It matches the Rfam family "Bacterial small subunit ribosomal RNA", at positions 524 to 776 of the family's 1533-position model. The record is from RNAcentral.